Pteropus alecto (black flying fox) is the source of this 106-nucleotide non-coding RNA. The record is from Rfam. Lineage: Eukaryota; Metazoa; Chordata; Mammalia; Chiroptera; Pteropodidae.
GUGCUUGCUUCGGCAGCACAUAUACUAAAAGUGGAAUGAUACAGAGAAGAUUAGCAUGGCCCCUGUGCAAGGUUGACACGCACUUCGUGAAGCGUUCCAUGCUUUU